ACUUCUUCUCAGGGCUGCGGC
This 21-nucleotide unclassified non-coding RNA is filed under the name Chlamydomonas reinhardtii. Its description in RNAcentral is "small RNA Cre_0398". The record is from RNAcentral. Lineage: Eukaryota; Viridiplantae; Chlorophyta; Chlorophyceae; Chlamydomonadales; Chlamydomonadaceae.